Schistocerca serialis cubense is the source of this 4532-nucleotide long non-coding RNA. RefSeq lists it as uncharacterized. The record is from RefSeq and is a predicted model, not a curated record. Lineage: Eukaryota; Metazoa; Arthropoda; Insecta; Orthoptera; Acrididae. The transcript is spliced from 2 exons.
GGUUGGAAAUUUUAAAAAAUAUCACAAAUAUAAGCUUACAAGUGUGAUAAUGUUUACUAUGUCUUCUAGAGCCCACAUUCUUUGACGGGUUACUUCUUAAAGACAUGUGUUAGCCUUAUUUACCUGCUUUGACUACCUUAACAGGUAAGACUUAAUAAUGGUUUAACAAGUAAGUGACUACCUCGUGCAUUUAAUAUCUUUUUUUAAUUUUCAGAACUGCUGCUAUGUGUAUCGCUAUUUGCAUGUUCCAGCUUUUAGCACUGUUUUGAUAAUGACAUGAAAGCUGAAAUCUGGAAAGUACGAAAGAUAGAUUUAAUAAAACACAGUUAAAUGGUGGUUUACUCUUUUAAAAAUAUUUAUUAUCUCUCUCUCCCUCUCUCUCUCUCUCUCCCACCCAUUCCCCCCCCUACCCCGCAACAUUUUGUUCAGUCUUCUUAUGACACAACUUCCUCUGAGGCGAUCGGACAUGGUUUACACACUUCGUACGAAACAUGACUGAGCUACCUCAAACGACAUCGUGUCUGUUUUCUUUAGAAUUUUAAAAUCAUCAGUUUUCAGUUCAAGUGAAAACGUUGCUUUUGAGGGAAAACAGUUGAUAUCAUUUACUUCGAUUACUAAGCUCGUAAAUAACCCACUUCCUGAUAAUGAUUAGAUGCAGCCAUUCUCACGUUAGCCGUUAACUUCAGUCCCUUUCACACUGAACUUAGCCAUUGUUGUAUUGGUUUCCAAUAGUGAAGUAUCGAACUAAAACAGGAGCCUUAAUAAUUGUUCAGAUAAUGUCACAGCUAGUCAACGGAUGCUACUGACUAAAUUGACGAUACUGGUUUGUCCACUGAUUGCAUGCGUAAUUACGCUCCCCCUCCACGAAUAAAUCAAUUAAUCAGUCACUGUUACUCUGCUAUUCGAGGGAUAGCUUCUAAACUCAUAUUACACCAACAGCUGAAAAUUGAACGUAGUCUUUGGAGUCACUCGACUGCAUACGACCAUUCCACGCCAAACCUGAACAACCACUACCAUCGUUUCACGUAGACGUGCGUAAUCGGCGUUACCUAUGGAUGUCCCCUCCAGGAAAAGGAGCAUUCAGUUACAAAUGUUUCAUAGAACCAAAGGUCCUAAGAACGACUGCGUGUGUCAUACCACUAUUGGCAGUUGUACCCUCUACAACGUCAGGGGAAUGCUGUGCUGAUUCCUUAGACAGCGCAUGACUGAUGGUUUCACACUUUAGUCGAACAAAGCUAGAUUAUCAGUCUAAUGAACACACCGGGUACCGGUUUGACAUAUGUAGAUGAAUGUAUUUAUAUAGCAACCGAGCUCUCAAAAUCGAGGAAUUUAAUGCGGCAUUUCAACGUUCUGUGUUCAAACGAAAGAACAGAGACUCCUUAUGGUUGAAAAAUUGUAUGACGAUCGUCGGCACAGUUUACAAAAUUGUUAUAUAUAUACACAGGUAAAGCAUUUCUGAAAGUAAUGCUUCUUUCAAAAUCGCAAAGUAGGUUACGACAAUAGAAAUAGUAUGCAGUAACUAGGGGAUAGUCUGAAAUGGAGGAUACUUAACAGAGCAGAUGGAAAUAAACCUCCAGGAAUCCGUCUGCUUUAGUUUGCCACACCGUGAGUUGUAAGCUCCAAUACAUUCUCCACUACAUCCAGUCAUUGUAAGCAUCUGGCUACACUGAUCUUUUGAAAUACCUAAAAUGGGUCUUACGUAAACUACGUGAAGAUAAAACAUCAAAUACGUUGCAUGACACACGAAAAAGAACAUGAGUUAUGCUGUCUAAGUUAUCUUUCGAAGAAUCCAGCAAUGAAAGAGUAUCGAGCAAAAUAAGUAGUGACUUGCGAAGCAUUAGCAAUUAGAUAUAUAAACACGAAAUAUCUGUCUCUAGAGAUAACUUGAGCUGUUUUUACAUUGUAGGCAUUCUCUGUUAUUUCCUUCUCAAGCUUUUUCUUUGAAGGAACACUUUUAAAAUCCUGGUACUUUCAUGGAACACCUUCUCUACUUUUGACAUUAAUAAAAUUUUAUCAAGUGAAAAUAUAUUGUUUUGUUCAUUCAGUCCCUCAAUUUAAAAUCGUGCCUAAUAACACAGAAAUCAUAACAAAAUUAAAAAGAAUGAACAACUAUACCGUCAAAAUGUUGGCUAAACUGCCAUGUAAUCAACAGUUUUUCACGGAGCACUUAUUCCCUUCUCUUGGAAAUUUUUACAUAUUUUCAGAAGGAACUAAGAUCUUGUUAGCAUUAGCCGGUAAGUCUGAAACUCUACAACGCCGUCUAUCUUUUACAUCAACGGGUAUUCAGUAGUGGAAAUUCUAUGCCAAUUUGUGAUGUACAUUACAUUUAGCUUGAUUCUUAUUGACAGCAUGUGUUUGUACUGAAAUAUUAUUUACACCUUUAUUAUGUCACAUUUCAUAAGAAAUGUCUUAAAGACUGUUUUCUAUAACUUGUGGUUAACUGGUUCGUUAAAGAUGUCCGUUACGAUUCUGUGUUAGUCAAAAAUAGUGUUCGGUUCGGAUAAGGAGACCAUAAAUAAGAGUUUGUUAAUGUUUGUAGCGCCACUUGCUUCAACGAUGUCAUACACCGAGACAAAUUAUUAUGAUCCAGACGCACUUUAUACCGAAAACAAACAGGAAUUACAUUUAAUCAUAAAUAAUUGUUAGCCAUGCUUACUGUUGUCAGCUUUAGUCGCCACAUACAUAAAAUAUUAGAGCUUGCGUCCAGAUAAUUGGAUUUAUUUUGGUGUGGUUUGGCAUGGAGAGCUCAACGCAGCGUUCAUUAGCGAACUGAAUUUAUUGCCUUCUGGUUAACGGCAAUACCUGUCAUCAGAUUCUGACAAUACCGCAUAUACAUUUCUUUCUGUGUACUAAGGAUGACUCCAAACAUGCUGUGUCCGAUAAGAUCUGACCUAGUACCAUGCAAGGCAGGUUCUCUUUGUUCCAUAAACUCUUAACGCGAAUAUUUGAAGCAUUCAUCAGUUUCCCGAUUGUCGUGUAACUAUGCGAGGCACGAUUCCUAACACGAAUCGUUCGGUUCAAAACAAAUUUCUAAGCCAUUUCGCCCCUCAUCAGAAAUUUACUUCAUGUAACUUGUGCCCCAUGACUUUAUUCUGGCGAAAAUGAAAGGAAAAAUAGAAUUCAUUGGUAAUGAGAUAUGUAUAUAAACAAUAAACCGUUAGCCGGCCGGGGUGGUCGAGCGGUUCUAGGCGCUAUAGUCUGGAACCGCGCGACCACUACGGUCGCAGGUUCGAAUCCUGCCUCGGGCAUGGAUGUGUGUGAUGUCCUUAGGUUAGUUAGGUAAGUUAAGUCCCAUAGUGCUCAGAGCCAAUUAACCGUUAAGCAACCGGUUUAUAUUUUUCUUGAAGUAUACAUCACGGAAUAUCUUUGGGCAUUGCCAGGGUGUUUAAUUUCUAAUCCAGCUACUCAAAUAACGUUUUCCGUUGUUUAUGUGAUUCUUACCACACUUUUGUCUUUUCCGAACUUUCUUCUCGUCUUAAUGAUCUUGCUUUCGGCAGUGAAUUAAACACUUCCUUACUAAAAAAAAUUCAUCAAUGUGUCCUGUCAGAAAACUCAGAAUGAAUUAACCUGUAUACCUACCUUAUGCCAGAAGUUCGACGUAAAAAUCGAAACUAGUUGUGAUCGUACAAAGCAGGAACAAUCUCAACUCGUUCCGGUGAUUCUCUCUAAUGUUAUAAAUUUAAAUCGCUGUUGUCAAUCGUUUCAUACAAAACUUAGUGAUGUGUACAUUUCCUUUUUAUAUUUACCUGGUCUGAAAGCGUAAAUUGUUUGUAUACUGUUACAUCCAUUCUCUGGUAUUAAUUAUCUCUCUACACUCAACUUACACUAUGUAUUCCAGUCAGUGUACAUACACUGUAUAUAACGCAGCAUAGAGUGUACCUUGAAUGUUCUUUAUUAUAAAGCGCUUACGCGCAUCUCGUUGGGUAUAUGCUCCGAUCGUACUGCAGCACGUACUUACGUUAACUGAUAAUAAGAUGAUAUCUUUUAAGCUAGGCACCACUCAUUUCAAUGGAGUAUCUGAUUUAUUAACUCCACUAAACCCCACUGCUAUUUUAUAGAGACGUAAGAUUUCAAAUUAAUUGUAAGCUAUCGGCUUUUCUUACGACAAAAAUACAGAAAGUAACGUUGAUGCAGAGAAGCAAAUGUUGUUUUGCUCUAAAAUUAUGUGUAAAUCCUUAGGAAAAUCUUAUAGAACCUUUUUUAUUCCCUGGUCAUUACAUGCUUCUGAUACUUUGAAAUAGUCUUUUGUUUUACAUGCUACGUGUACUACUAGUACGUCAUUACUCGAUUAUCAUUUCUAAUUUUCAUUCUUCACAUACUGCUCGUUUUUAUCGUCUUUCAAUAAUUCUCAAAUCGAAGCGAGUGCCUCCCCUAGUUGCCAACUGUGAAGAGAGCUCUGAUGGUUUUGCGAGAAACAUGUGUAUUCAUUGACUACGGAUUUUAGUAUCAUGAAUUGUUUUCACUGUAUAUUGAAUUGUAAAAUGGUAAUAUUUAAACUGUGGCUUUUGUAAUAAAACUGUUUAAAAAUUUUA